CCUACGGGAGGCAGCAGUGAGGAAUAUUGGUCAAUGGACGAGAGUCUGAACCAGCCAAGUAGCGUGAAGGAUGACUGCCCUAUGGGUUGUAAACUUCUUUUAUAUGGGAAUAAAACGUUCCACGUGUGGGAUUUUGUAUGUACCAUAUGAAUAAGGAUCGGCUAACUCCGUGCCAGCAGCCGCGGUAAUACGGAGGAUCCGAGCGUUAUCCGGAUUUAUUGGGUUUAAAGGGAGCGUAGGUGGAUUGUUAAGUCAGUUGUGAAAGUUUGCGGCUCAACCGUAAAAUUGCAGUUGAAACUGGCAGUCUUGAGUACAGUAGAGGUGGGCGGAAUUCGUGGUGUAGCGGUGAAAUGCUUAGAUAUCACGAAGAACUCCGAUUGCGAAGGCAGUUCACUGGACUGCAUCUGACACUGAGGCUCGAAAGUGUGGGUAUCAAACAGGAUUAGAUACCCCAGUAGUC
Molecule: ribosomal RNA, 460 nt
Filed under: uncultured bacterium
Lineage: Bacteria
Description: partial 16S ribosomal RNA
Rfam family: Bacterial small subunit ribosomal RNA
Source: RNAcentral